Molecule: ribosomal RNA, 441 nt
Filed under: uncultured bacterium
Lineage: Bacteria
Description: partial 16S ribosomal RNA
Rfam family: Bacterial small subunit ribosomal RNA
Source: RNAcentral
CCUACGGGUGACUGCAGUGGGGAAUAUUGCACAAUGGGCGCAACCCUGAUGCAGCGAUGCCGCGUGUGUGAAGAAGUCUUUCGGGAUGUAAAGUUCUUUCAGCCGGGAGGAAGGUAGCCGGUUCCUUACCCUUGAGCCUCGGCUAACUCGGCGCAAGCAGCCGCGGCAAUACGGAGGGGACAAGCGUUGUCCGGAAUUACUGGGCGUAAAGGGAACGGAGUCGGUUGGGCGAGUCAGAUGUGAAAGCCCUGGGCUCAACCCUGGUACUGCAUUGGAAACUGGGGAGCUAGAGUCCGGGAGAGGUAGGUAGAAUUCCAAGUGUAGCGGUGAAAUGCGUAGAGAUUAGGAGGAAUACCAGUGGCGAAGGCGGCUUACUGGACAGAGACUGACGUUCAGGCGCGAAAGCGUGGGGAGCAAACAGGAUUAGAUACCCCGGUAGUC